AGAGUUUGAUCCUGGCUCAGAUUGAACGCUGGCGGCAGGCCUAACACAUGCAAGUCGAACGGUAACAGGAAGCAGCUUGCUGCUUCGCUGACGAGUGGCGGACGGGUGAGUAAUGUCUGGGAAACUGCCCGAUGGAGGGGGAUAACUACUGGAAACGGUAGCUAAUACCGCAUAACGUCGCAAGACCAAAGAGGGGGACCUUCGGGCCUCUUACCAUCGGAUGUGCCCAGAUGGGAUUAGCUAGUUGGUGAGGUAACGGCUCACCAAGGCGACGAUCCCUAGCUGGUCUGAGAGGAUGACCAGCCACACUGGAACUGAGACACGGUCCAGACUCCUACGGGAGGCAGCAGUGGGGAAUAUUGCACAAUGGGCGCAAGCCUGAUGCAGCCAUGCCGCGUGUAUGAAGAAGGCCUUCGGGUUGUAAAGUACUUUCAGCGGGGAGGAAGGGGAUGUGGUUAAUAACCGCAUCCAUUGACGUUACCCGCAGAAGAAGCACCGGCUAACUCCGUGCCAGCAGCCGCGGUAAUA
Molecule: ribosomal RNA, 528 nt
Filed under: uncultured bacterium
Lineage: Bacteria
Description: bacterial SSU rRNA
Rfam family: Bacterial small subunit ribosomal RNA
Source: RNAcentral